GUCUGUUAAGAGAUGGGAUGCAUACAGGUUUCCGAGAACCAAUUGCUUUCUUUAAUUUGUGUAAAAAAGGAAACUCUGUAUUCUUUGUUGUAUAUAGAUUCAUCAUGAGGUUAGAUCCUGAACUAGGCCUCAACUCAGUUAAGAAGGUUGCAUAUUCCAAAUAGUUAGUUCAUUGCAAGCCUUCUGAAACUGUGAAAACAAUUACAACCCG
This 211-nucleotide unclassified non-coding RNA is filed under the name Hevea brasiliensis (rubber tree). The record is from RNAcentral. Lineage: Eukaryota; Viridiplantae; Streptophyta; Magnoliopsida; Malpighiales; Euphorbiaceae.